CCUACGGGUGGCAGCAGUGAGGAAUAUUGGUCAAUGGACGAGAGUCUGAACCAGCCAAGUAGCGUGAAGGAUGACUGUCCUCUGGGUUGUAAACUUCUUUUAUAAAGGAAUAAAACGAGGCACGUGUGCCUUGUUGCAUGUACUUUAUGAAUAAGCAUCGGCUAACUCCGUGCCAGCAGCCGCGGUAAUACGGAGGAUUCGAGCGUUAUCCGGAUUUAUUGGGUUUAAAGGGAGCGUAGAUGGGUUGUUAAGUCAGUUGUGAAAGUCUGCGGCUCAACCGCAAAAUUGCAAUUGAUACUGGCAGUCUGGAGUACAGUUGAGGUAGGCGGAAUUCGUGGUGUAGCGGUGAAAUGCUUAGAUAUCACGAAGAACCCCGAUUGCGAAGGCAGCUUACUAGACUGUGACUGACAUUGAGGCUCGAAAGUGUGGGUAUCAAACAGGAUUAGAUACCCCUGUAGUC
This 460-nucleotide ribosomal RNA is filed under the name uncultured bacterium. Its description in RNAcentral is "partial 16S ribosomal RNA". It matches the Rfam family "Bacterial small subunit ribosomal RNA", at positions 338 to 795 of the family's 1533-position model. The record is from RNAcentral.